AGUGAACGCUGGCGGUAGGCCUAACACAUGCAAGUCGAACGGCAGCACAGUAAGAGCUUGUUCUUACGGGUGGCGAGUGGCGGAUGGGUGAGGAAUACAUCGGAAUCUACUUUUUCUUGGGGGAUAACGUAGGGAAAAUUACGCUAAUACUGCAUACGACCUACGGGUGAAAGCAGGGGAUCUUCGGACCUUGCGCGAUUGAAUGAGCCGAUGUCGGAUUAGCUAGUUGGCGGGGUAAAGGCCCACCAAGGCGACGAUCCGUAGCUGGUCUGAGAGGAUGAUCAGCCACACUGGAACUGAGACACGGUCCAGACUCCUACGGGAGGCAGCAGUGGGGAAUAUUGGACAAUGGGCGCAAGCCUGAUCCAGCCAUACCGCGUGGGUGAAGAAGGCCUUCGGGUUGUAAAGCCCUUUUGUUGGGAAAGAAAAGCAGCAGGUUAAUACCCCGCUGUUCUGACGGUACCCAAAGAAUAAGCACCGGCUAACUUCGUG
RNAcentral lists this ribosomal RNA (492 nucleotides) under uncultured bacterium. Its description in RNAcentral is "partial 16S ribosomal RNA". It matches the Rfam family "Bacterial small subunit ribosomal RNA", at positions 29 to 507 of the family's 1533-position model. The record is from RNAcentral.